ACACUUACCUGGCAGGGGUGAAGGUGUUUUUCCCAGUGGCUUAUCCAUUGCACUCCAGAUGUGCUGAUCCCUGCAAUUUCCUCAAAUGUGGGAAACUUGACCGCAUAAUUUGUGGUAGUAGGGGACUGCAUUCAGCUUUCCCCUG
This is a small nuclear RNA of Marmota marmota marmota (Alpine marmot), 145 nucleotides long. Its record names the gene U1. It matches the Rfam family "U1 spliceosomal RNA". Rfam says of the family: U1 is a small nuclear RNA (snRNA) component of the spliceosome (involved in pre-mRNA splicing). Its 5' end forms complementary base pairs with the 5' splice junction, thus defining the 5' donor site of an intron. There are significant differences in sequence and secondary structure between metazoan and yeast U1 snRNAs, the latter being much longer (568 nucleotides as compared to 164 nucleotides in human). The record is from Ensembl. Lineage: Eukaryota; Metazoa; Chordata; Mammalia; Rodentia; Sciuridae.